UACGAGGGGGGCGAGCGUUGUUCGGAAUUAUUGGGCGUAAAGGGCGCGUAGGCGGUGUGGCAAGUCAGGUGUGAAACCUCCAGGCUUAACUUGGAGCUUGCAUCUGAAACUGCCGUGCUAGAGUGCGGGAGAGGAGAGUGGAAUUCCUGGUGUAGCGGUGAAAUGCGUAGAUAUCAGGAGGAACACCGGUGGCGAAGGCGGCUCUCUGGACCGCAACUGACGCUGAGGCGCGAAAGCUAGGGGAGCAAACAGG
RNAcentral lists this ribosomal RNA (253 nucleotides) under Acidobacterium sp. RNAcentral describes it as "partial 16S ribosomal RNA". It matches the Rfam family "Bacterial small subunit ribosomal RNA", at positions 524 to 776 of the family's 1533-position model. Lineage: Bacteria; Pseudomonadati; Acidobacteriota; Terriglobia; Terriglobales; Acidobacteriaceae. The record is from RNAcentral. RNAcentral also lists the same sequence under 2 other names.